Molecule: ribosomal RNA, 414 nt
Filed under: uncultured bacterium
Lineage: Bacteria
Description: bacterial SSU rRNA
Rfam family: Bacterial small subunit ribosomal RNA
Source: RNAcentral
UCGAGAAUCUUCGGCAAUGGGCGCAAGCCUGACCGAGCGACGCCGCGUGGAGGACGAAGGCCUUCGGGUUGUAAACUCCUGUCGAGGGGGAAGAAGGGCCGCGAGGCCUUGACUGAUCCCUGGAGGAAGCACGGGCUAAGUUCGUGCCAGCAGCCGCGGUAAGACGAACCGUGCGAACGUUAUUCGGAAUCACUGGGCUUAAAGCGCGUGUAGGCGGGGCGGAACGUCGGAUGCUGAAAGCCCCCGGCUCAACCGGGGAAGUGGCACCGAUACGACCGCCCUCGAGGGACGUAGGGGGACCUGGAACUUCCGGUGGAGCGGUGAAAUGCGUUGAGAUCGGAAGGAACGCCCGUGGCGAAAGCGAGGUCCUGGACGUUUUCUGACGCUGAGACGCGAAAGCCAGGGGAGCGAACG